GACGAACGCUGGCGGCGUGCUUAACACAUGCAAGUCGAACGGAAAGGCCCUGCUUGCAGGGUGCUCGAGUGGCGAACGGGUGAGUAACACGUGGGUGAUCUGCCCUGCACUUCGGGAUAAGCCUGGGAAACUGGGUCUAAUACCGGAUAGGAGCCAUUCUGAGUGUGAUGGUUGGAAAGUUUUUUCGGUGUAGGAUGAGCUCGCGGCCUAUCAGCUUGUUGGUGGGGUAAUGGCCUACCAACGCGGCGACGGGUAGCCGGCCUGAGAGGGUGGACGGCCACAUUGGGACUGAGAUACGGCCCAGACUCCUACGGGAGGCAGCAGUGGGGAAUAUUGCACAAUGGGCGCAAGCCUGAUGCAGCGACGCCGCGUGGGGGAUGACGGCCUUCGGGUUGUAAACUCCUUUCGCUAGGGACGAAGCUUUUUGUGACGGUACCUAGAUAAGAAGCACCGGCUAACUACGUG
This 465-nucleotide ribosomal RNA is filed under the name uncultured bacterium. RNAcentral describes it as "partial 16S ribosomal RNA". It matches the Rfam family "Bacterial small subunit ribosomal RNA", at positions 28 to 507 of the family's 1533-position model. The record is from RNAcentral.